This 406-nucleotide ribosomal RNA is filed under the name uncultured bacterium. Its description in RNAcentral is "partial 16S ribosomal RNA". It matches the Rfam family "Bacterial small subunit ribosomal RNA", at positions 30 to 526 of the family's 1533-position model. The record is from RNAcentral.
AUUGAACGCUGGCGGCAGGCCUAACACAUGCAAGUCGAACGAGUGGCGGACGGGUGAGUAAUGUCUGGGAAACUGCCCGAUGGAGGGGGAUAACUACUGGAAACGGUAGCUCAUACCGCAUACCAUCGGAUGUUCCCAGAUGGGAUUAGCUAGUCGGUGGGGUAACGGCUCACCUAGGCGACGAUCCCUAGCUGGUCUUAGCGGAUGACCAGACAACCUGGAACUGAUACACGGUCCAGAUUCCUACGGGAGGCAGCAGUGGGGAAUAUUGCACAAUGGGCGCAAGCCUGAGGCAGCCAUGCAGCGUGUAUGAAGAAGGCCUUCUGGUUGUAAAGUACUUUCAGCGGGGCGGCGUUACCCGCAGAAGAAGCACCGGCUAACUCCGUGCCAGCCGCCGCGGUAAUAC